AUCGCGUGGGGGCACCCUGACCGCAAUGCCGCGUGAGUGAAGAAGGCCUUCGGGUUGUAAAGCUCUUUUGUCAGGGAAGAAACACCGGCUCUAACACAGUCCGGGAAUGACGGUACCUGAAGAAUAAGCACCGGCUAACUACGUGCCAGCAGCCGCGGUAAUACGUAGGGUGCAAGCGUUAAUCGGAAUUACUGGGCGUAAAGCGUGCGCAGGCGGUUAUACAAGACAGGCGUGAAAUCCCCGGGCUUAACCUGGGAAUGGCGCCUGUGACUGUAUAGCUAGAGUGCGUCAGAGGGGGGUAGAAUUCCACGUGUAGCAGUGAAAUGCGUAGAUAUGUGGAGGAAUACCAAUGGCGAAGGCAGCCCCCUGGGAUAACACUGACGCUCAUGCACGAAA
This 396-nucleotide ribosomal RNA is filed under the name uncultured bacterium. RNAcentral describes it as "bacterial SSU rRNA". It matches the Rfam family "Bacterial small subunit ribosomal RNA", at positions 361 to 758 of the family's 1533-position model. The record is from RNAcentral.